Molecule: ribosomal RNA, 496 nt
Filed under: uncultured bacterium
Lineage: Bacteria
Description: partial 16S ribosomal RNA
Rfam family: Bacterial small subunit ribosomal RNA
Source: RNAcentral
GAUGAACGCUGGCGGCGUGCCUAAUACAUGCAAGUCGAGCGAACAGACGAGGAGCUUGCUCCUCUGACGUUAGCGGCGGACGGGUGAGUAACACGUGGAUAACCUACCUAUAAGACUGGGAUAACUUCGGGAAACCGGAGCUAAUACCGGAUAAUAUAUUGAACCGCAUGGUUCAAUAGUGAAAGACGGUUUUGCUGUCACUUAUAGAUGGAUCCGCGCCGCAUUAGCUAGUUGGUAAGGUAACGGCUUACCAAGGCAACGAUGCGUAGCCGACCUGAGAGGGUGAUCGGCCACACUGGAACUGAGACACGGUCCAGACUCCUACGGGAGGCAGCAGUAGGGAAUCUUGCGCACUGGGCGAAAGCCUGACGGAGCAACGCCGCGUGAGUGAUGAAGGUCUUCGGAUCGUAAAACUCUGUUAUUAGGGAAGAACAAAUGUGUAAGUAACUAUGCACGUCUUGACGGUACCUAAUCAGAAAGCCACGGCUAACUACGU